Colius striatus (speckled mousebird) is the source of this 1167-nucleotide long non-coding RNA. RefSeq lists it as uncharacterized. The record is from RefSeq and is a predicted model, not a curated record. NCBI's taxonomy places the organism in Eukaryota, Metazoa, Chordata, Aves, Coliiformes, Coliidae. The transcript is spliced from 6 exons.
GGGCCGGGCCGGGCCGCCCAUCGCCCGGCAGUGGAGCGAGCUGGGAUCGCGUUCUUCGUGCCCCGCCGCACUGCGGCGUCUCCUCUGCCAAGGAUGUCAAACUCACCAGAAGAAGGGCAAAACCAGAUCUGUAUCUCAUUGUGAUCUGUGUCUUGGAGCUUAAAUUUAGAUAUUUCUACUUUAUAUGGCCGACAUCUCAUAUCCUGAACACAGCCUCCAUCGAACCAGCUUUUCAAGGGCCACAAACCGGCAUCUUUGUUGGAGACUACUUCCUUAGGUUCUCUGCUCGUUUCGGUGACCUCAUCCUCUACAUCAUCUGCAGGCUCCUCUUUGAUCUGAAUUUUCAACUGCUUGGAAACACUUAAGUCUUCAGGUCAAUUCUUAUAUUAAACCACAAUCUCAAGAAUGAUUGCACUGGCGUAACUGAAGAAGCAGCAAAAAGUGGCAGCGCAGCAGUUGCAAGAAGGCAAGAACUCCUUACAACAGUUUGCCAUCAAUGCCAACACUUGACUGACCAUGUUCAGCCCUAACACACAAGUCUUCUUCGCUACUGACUGGAAAAAACCUCUUCUCUCUUUCUUCCAUGAUGUUCCAGUGACAUCAAGGAAACAGCAGGAGCAUAUCAGAAAAUCUCUCAUUGUCUGUGUUCAAGUGCCACGUACUCUUAGCAGCUGCUGGUCCUCGGGAGCAACAGUGACGGCAAGACUUCAGACCCAGGAAGGGCAAGUACAGUAGAGGCACCUGCAGCUUUCCUUGCUUCCUACAGGCCAAGAAGAGAUUUUAGACUUAAUCUUCAACAGCCUUCUAGUGAUCUCAUCAAACUAGAUUUCAGAAACCUAAGCACUGUGUAUUUGGUAUUAGAUUUAUUUUCUUUCUUCAACAAGGAUAGAAAAAGGCACCUCUACUAUUUGAAAAUUACUGCAAAAAGAAAAUCUCUACUAAGGAAAGCUCCUCACAAGGGUGAAAAAGCUGAAUCUUUGGCCCAACAAUUUAUGGAUCUCCACAGCGACCUGCCUUUGAAGUGGUAGUUCCCCUUCCCUUCCUCUGUCCCCUCCUCACAGCCCUGCAGUACCCUCCUCUUCCUUUCACCAUCUCUGCUGCUUAUUUGACCUCCCGGUAAGUUGAUUGAUUCAGCUCUCUAAAAUGAAGCAGGAAACAACACACAAG